UACAGGGGGUGCAAACGUUGCUCGGAAUCAUUUGGGCGUAAAGCGCACGUAGGCGGUUCGUUAUGUCGGAUGUGAAAGCCCUUGGCUUAACCGAGGAAGUGCAUCCGAAACUGGCGAGCUAGAGUACGAAAGAGGAUCGCGGAAUUCCCGGUGUAGAGGUGAAAUUCGUAGAUAUCGGGAGGAACACCGGUGGCGAAGGCGGCGAUCUGGGUCGAUACUGACGCUAGGUGCGAAAGCGUGGGGAGCAAACAGG
This 253-nucleotide ribosomal RNA is filed under the name uncultured bacterium. RNAcentral's name for it is "partial 16S ribosomal RNA". It matches the Rfam family "Bacterial small subunit ribosomal RNA", at positions 524 to 776 of the family's 1533-position model. The record is from RNAcentral.